AGUGAACGCUGGCGGCGUGCUUAACACAUGCAAGUCGAACGAGAACGGGUUAUAGCUUGCUAUAAUUGUCAGCUAAGUGGCGCACGGGUGAGUAAUGUAUAGGUAAUAUGCCUCUUACUAAGGGAUAACAAAUGGAAACGUUUGCUAAUACCUUAUACUCCUUAUUAACAGAAGUUAAUAAGGGAAAGAUUUAUUGGUAAGAGAUUAGCCUGUAUUGUAUCAGUUAGUUGGUGGUGUAAUGGCCUACCAAGACUAUGACACAUAACUGGUUUGAGAGGAUGAUCAGUCUCACUGGAACUGAGACACGGUCCAGACUCCUACGGGAGGCAGCAGUGGGGAAUAUUGCACAAUGGACGAAAGUCUGAUGCAGCAACGCCGUGUGGAGGAUGAAACAUUUCGGUGCUUAAACUCCUUUUAUAUGAGAAGAUAAUGACGGUAUUAUAUGAAUAAGCUCCGGCUAACUCCUUGCCAGCCGCCGCGGUAA
This 484-nucleotide ribosomal RNA is filed under the name uncultured bacterium. Its description in RNAcentral is "partial 16S ribosomal RNA". It matches the Rfam family "Bacterial small subunit ribosomal RNA", at positions 29 to 523 of the family's 1533-position model. The record is from RNAcentral.